GGUUGCAUGAUUUAACAAAAGGAGGGUGAAAAGAGCCCAAAAGCUCAAUCUCCAAUUACCCUAAUUCUACCAAUAAAAUUAAUUUAAACUAAAUAAUUUUAAUAAACUAAAAAACAAGAAAAAAAACGAAAAACACAUGGAUCAGUGGAGAGAGGCGCGCUUAGUUCUUACUGGAUACCAAUUGACUAAUUAAAAAAAAAAGUCUUCAAU
This 210-nucleotide long non-coding RNA is filed under the name Lathyrus oleraceus (garden pea). RNAcentral describes it as "Pisum sativum (pea) long non-coding RNA (PSAT_LNC019154)". The record is from RNAcentral. Lineage: Eukaryota; Viridiplantae; Streptophyta; Magnoliopsida; Fabales; Fabaceae.